Molecule: long non-coding RNA, 880 nt
Organism: Gavialis gangeticus (Gharial)
Lineage: Eukaryota; Metazoa; Chordata; Crocodylia; Gavialidae
Exons: 2
Source: RefSeq, a predicted model, not a curated record
UUCUGGUUUUAACUCUUUGGUGCUGCGAAGUCCUGGAUGCACACCGGCAGCGCUGGCGGGUCCAAGCCCGGCCCUGUGACUCCCGGCUGCUCCAGGGAGACGAGCGCGGGUGCUUCAAUCCCCGCGGCGGGCAGAGCCAGGCCGGGCGGUGCCGCUCCCAAGCGCUCCGGCAGCAGCAUAUUUGAACAGCAGCCUACUUCAAACUGAUUCAGAAUACUGAAGAACUCAUUGCUACAAGAAAUCUUCAAGACCAAACGUUUUAUAGGAUUAAGUAAAACAGACAUUAGCUUGAAUAAUGAAAAAAGAAUCCUUUUAUAUACAGCAGGAGAGAAUUUGCAGUACAUUUGGCCAUGCUCCUGAGCAUAACACAAAUGCUAACUGGUGGGAUUAGACAAACAUUUCUAAUAAGAAGUUUACUCUAUAAUUUUAUUGUGGGUUUUUUGUACCUUCCACUUGAGCAUCUGGGGCUGGCCCCUGCCAGAAACAAUACACUGGACUAGAUGAUCUGUUACUCCAGUUAGUUAUAGCAGUUGUUCUGUGAGAAUAAAGAAAAACAGGAUUAGGUCCACAGUGUGUGCUAUAGUGUUAAUACUAUAUAUUGUAGCAUUGUUAUGUUUGUUCAUUGUAGUUUUCAAGCUACAUGGCUGAUCACUAUUCCAUAUUUUUCACCUGAUCUACAGGCCAAGCUGCUAUUAAUAUAAGUGAGAUUUCUGUAAUGCAGAAACAAAAGUGAAUUUUGCUCAGGAUAAAAAAUAUUGAAUGUUAUAACUCCUGCCCUAUGCCCUUCAUUAGUAUGAUAUGCAAACUUAGUUGAUUCAGUUUAUGAGGCUUCUUAUACUGUGUGUAUCUGUAUAAAUAUUUGGCAUUUCUUUAAUCUUUU